Poecilia formosa (Amazon molly) is the source of this 62-nucleotide non-coding RNA. Lineage: Eukaryota; Metazoa; Chordata; Actinopteri; Cyprinodontiformes; Poeciliidae. The record is from Rfam.
GGUGUGUUCAUGAUGGUCUGUUUUUAAACUCAACGGAGAAAGCAGACUUGAUGUUUAACACC